AGUGAACGCUGGCGGCGUGCUUAACACAUGCAAGUCGAACGAGUAAGUGCUGUAGCAAUACAGAUUACUGCUAGUGGCAGACGGGUGAGUAAUACAUGGGAAUCUACCUUGAAGUCUGGGAUAACUGUUGGAAACGACAGCUAAUACCGGAUAUUGCCGAGAGGUGAAAGUUUUUCGCUUCAAGAUGAGCCCAUGCAAGAUUAGCUAGUUGGUAGGGUAAUGGCCUACCAAGGCGAAGAUCUUUAGCUGGUCUAAGAGGAUGAUCAGCCACACUGGGACUGAGACACGGUCCAGACUCCGACGGGAGGCAGCAGUGGGGAAUAUUGGACAAUGGGCGAAAGCCUGAUCCAGCGACGCCGCGUGAGUGAUGAAGGCCUUCGGGUUGUAAAGCUCUUUCAGUAGGGAAGAUAAUGACGGUACCUACAGAAGAAGCUCCGGCUAACUUCGUGCCAGCAGCCGCAGUAA
This 465-nucleotide ribosomal RNA is filed under the name uncultured bacterium. Its description in RNAcentral is "partial 16S ribosomal RNA". It matches the Rfam family "Bacterial small subunit ribosomal RNA", at positions 29 to 523 of the family's 1533-position model. The record is from RNAcentral.